UACGGGGGGGGCAAGCGUUGUCCGGAAUCAUUGGGCGUAAAGCGCGUGUAGGCGGCCCGGUAAGUCCGCUGUGAAAGUCCAGGGCUCAACCCUGGGAUGCCGGUGGAUACUGUCGGGCUCGAGUCCGGAAGAGGCGAGUGGAAUUCCUGGUGUAGCGGUGAAAUGCGCAGAUAUCAGGAGGAACACCAAUGGCGAAGGCAGCUCGCUGGGACGUGACUGACGCUGAGACGCGAAAGCGUGGGGAGCAAACAGG
RNAcentral lists this ribosomal RNA (253 nucleotides) under uncultured bacterium. RNAcentral describes it as "partial 16S ribosomal RNA". It matches the Rfam family "Bacterial small subunit ribosomal RNA", at positions 524 to 776 of the family's 1533-position model. The record is from RNAcentral.